RNAcentral lists this ribosomal RNA (597 nucleotides) under uncultured bacterium. RNAcentral's name for it is "bacterial SSU rRNA". It matches the Rfam family "Bacterial small subunit ribosomal RNA", at positions 112 to 704 of the family's 1533-position model. The record is from RNAcentral.
AAUGCUUAGGAAUCUGCCUAUUAGUGGGGGACAACAUUCCGAAAGGAAUGCUAAUACCGCAUACGCCCUACGGGGGAAAGCAGGGGAUCUUCGGACCUUGCGCUAAUAGAUGAGCCUAAGUCAGAUUAGCUAGUUGGUGGGGUAAAGGCCUACCAAGGCGACGAUCUGUAGCGGGUCUGAGAGGAUGAUCCGCCACACUGGGACUGAGACACGGCCCAGACUCCUACGGGAGGCAGCAGUGGGGAAUAUUGGACAAUGGGCGAAAGCCUGAUCCAGCCAUGCCGCGUGUGUGAAGAAGGCCUUUUGGUUGUAAAGCACUUUAAGCGAGGAGGAGGCUACCGAGAUUAAUACUCUUGGAUAGUGGACGUUACUCGCAGAAUAAGCACCGGCUAACUCUGUGCCAGCAGCCGCGGUAAUACAGAGGGUGCGGGCGUUAAUCGGAUUUACUGGGCGUAAAGCGUGCGUAGGCGGCUUUUUAAGUCGGAUGUGAAAUCCCUGAGCUUAACUUAGGAAUUGCAUUCGAUACUGGGAAGCUAGAGUAUGGGAGAGGAUGGUAGAAUUCCAGGUGUAGCGGUGAAAUGCGUAGAGAUCUGGAGG